UACUAGAGUAGCACUCGCAUAUCAAUAAGCGGAGGAAAAGGCGGCGGAGAGUAUUGGUGUGGGCAUACCUACGCUUAGGAUGUUGACACACGCGCGUGCUCGACUUUAUACAUGACUCUGUGCAUAUCAAUAAGCGGAGGAAAAGAAACUAACAAGGAUUCCCCUAGUAACGGCGAGUGAAGCGGGAAGAGCUCAAAUUUGAAAUCUUAAAGGGUUUCCCUUUACGAAUUGUAGUUUAAAGAAGUGUUUUCUGUUGAGGUUUUGGUAAAAGUUCUUUGGAAUAGGACAUCAUAGAGGGUGAGAAUCCCGUAUUUGACCUUUACUUUCAACUUUGUGAUACACUUUCAAAGAGUCGGAUUGUUUGGGAAUGCAGUCCAAAAUGGGUGGUAAAUUUCAUCUAAAGCUAAAUAUUGGCGAGAGACCGAUAGCGAACAAGUACCGUGAGGGAAAGAUGAAAAGAACUUUGAAAAGAGAGUUAAACAGUACGUGAAAUUGUCAAAAGGGAAGCGUUUGACACCAGUGUUGUUUUUCUGAAAAUCAAUUAAAGAACUGUUUAUGCUAAGUUGUUUAGACUUUAUCAGCUAACUGUUUAGUUUUGAGCUUUUCUUUAAUGCACUUUUCAGUUAACAAGUCAACAUCAAUUUCUUUUGCUGUAAAAAAGCUUGAGGAAGGUGGCUUGAGAUUCGUCUUAAGUGUUUAUAGCCUCUUGCCUAUGCAGUCGGAGAGAUUGAGGUCUGCAGCGUAGAUCCUUCGGGGCUAAAUGCAUUUGUGCUAAGUUAUAGCAUUUUAUAGACAACUUGUUGACUAUGAUUUGUCUUGUAGCUUACUCGCUUACGUUAUUUUACCUACGCUUAGGAUGUUGAGUCAUCACACAUCUCU
Molecule: ribosomal RNA, 879 nt
Filed under: uncultured Neocallimastigales
Lineage: Eukaryota; Fungi; Neocallimastigomycota; Neocallimastigomycetes; Neocallimastigales
Description: partial large subunit ribosomal RNA
Rfam family: Eukaryotic large subunit ribosomal RNA
Source: RNAcentral